This 924-nucleotide ribosomal RNA is filed under the name Smithella sp. RNAcentral describes it as "partial 23S ribosomal RNA". It matches the Rfam family "Bacterial large subunit ribosomal RNA", at positions 1 to 908 of the family's 2925-position model. Lineage: Bacteria; Pseudomonadati; Thermodesulfobacteriota; Syntrophia; Syntrophales; Smithellaceae. The record is from RNAcentral.
GGUCAAGCUACUAAGGGCGCAGGGCGGAUGCCUUGGUGCCAGGAGGCGAUGAAAGACGUGGUUAGCUGCGAUAAGCUUCGGGGAGCCGCUAAACAGGCUUAGAUCCGGGGAUUUCUGAAUGGGGGAACCCAUCUCGAGUCAUGUCGAGAUAUCACUAUCUGAAUUCAUAGGGUAGUGAGGCGAACGAGGGGAACUGAAACAUCUAAGUACCCUCAGGAAAAGAAAACGACAGUGAUUCCCUAAGUAGUGGCGAGCGAACGGGGAAAAGCCCAAACCGGGAGUACUUCGGUAUUUCCGGGGUUGAGGGACCUCAACGUGGGAUUGACAAUGGGUAGGUGAACGGUUUGGAAAGACCGGCCAUAGGGGGUGAUAGCCCCGUAACCGAAACCUGGAGUCACCCUAGAGGUAUCCCGAGUACUGCGGGACACGUGAAAUCCCGCAGGAAUCAGGGGGGACCAUCUCCCAAGGCUAAAUACUACCUGGCAACCGAUAGUGAACUAGUACCGUGAGGGAAAGGUGAAAAGCACUCCGAAAGGAGAAUGAAAUAGUACCUGAAACCGUGCGCCUACAAGGUGUGGAAGGACCAGGAAUGGAGCAAUCCAUUCGGUCUGACUGCGUGCCUUUUGUAUAAUGAGUCAGCGAGUUACUCUAUGUAGCGAGGUUAAGCCGUCAGGUGGAGCCGUAGCGAAAGCGAGUCUUAAUAGGGCGAUUGAGUUGCAUGGAGUAGACCCGAAACCAGGUGAUCUAUUCAUGGCCAGGGUGAAGCGCAUGUAACAGUGCGUGGAGGCCCGAACCGGUGUGGGUUGAAAACCGCUCGGAUGAGCUGUGAAUAGGGGUGAAAGGCCAAUCAAACUUGGAAAUAGCUGGUUCUCCCCGAAAUAUAUUUUGGUAUAGCCUUGCAACUUUAAGUAUCGGAGGUAGAGC